CAAGUCGAGGGGCAGCAGGUCCCGCAGCAAUGCGGGAUGCUGGCGACCGGCAAACGGGUGCGGAACACGUACACAACCUUCCUUUAAGUGGGGAAUAGCCCGGGGAAACCCGGAUUAAUACCCCGUAAUAUAAUGGAGUGGCAUCACUUUAUUAUUAUAGCUCCGGCGCUUGAAGAUGGGUGUGCGACUGAUUAGGCAGUUGGCGGGGUAACGGCCCACCAAACCUACGAUCAGUAACUGGUGUGAGAGCACGACCAGUCACACGGGCACUGAGACACGGGCCCGACUCCUACGGGAGGCAGCAGUAAGGAAUAUUGGUCAAUGGACGCAAGUCUGAACCAGCCAUGCCGCGUGGAGGAUGAAGGUCCUCUGGAUUGUAAACUUCUUUUAUCUGGGAAGAAAUGCAUUUUUUCUAAAAUGCUUGACGGUACCAGGUGAAUAAGCACCGGCUAACUCCGUGCCAGCAGCCGCGGUAAUACGGAGGGUGCAAGCGUUAUCCGGAUUCACUGGGUUUAAAGGGUGCGUAGGUGGGUUGGUAAGUCAGUGGUGAAAUCUCCAGGCUUAACUUGGAAACUGCCAUUGAUACUAUCAAUCUUGAAUACCGUGGAGGUCAGCGGAAUAUGUCAUGUAGCGGUGAAAUGCUUAGAUAUGACAUAGAACACCAAUUGCGAAGGCAGCUGGCUACACGAAUAUUGACACUGAUGCACGAAAGCGUGGGGAUCAAACAGGAUUAGAUACCCUGGUAGUCCACGCCCUAAACGAUGGAUACUCGACAUACGCGAUAUACAGUGUGUGUCUGA
Molecule: ribosomal RNA, 800 nt
Filed under: uncultured Flavobacteriia bacterium
Lineage: Bacteria; Pseudomonadati; Bacteroidota; Flavobacteriia
Description: bacterial SSU rRNA
Rfam family: Bacterial small subunit ribosomal RNA
Source: RNAcentral